CCUACGAGAGGCUGCAGUAGGGAAUCUUCCACAAUGGACGAAAGUCUGAUGGAGCAACGCCGCGUGAGUGAAGAAGGGUUUCGGCUCGUAAAGCUCUGUUGGUAGUGAAGAAAGAUAGAGGUAGUAACUGGCCUUUAUUUGACGGUAAUUACUUAGAAAGUCACGGCUAACUACGUUCCAGCAGCCGCGGUAAUACGUAGGUGGCAAGCGUUGUCCGGAUUUAUUGGGCGUAAAGCGAGUGCAGGCGGUUCAAUAAGUCUGAUGUGAAAGCCUUCGGCUCAACCGGAGAAUUGCAUCAGAAACUGUUGAACUUGAGUGCAGAAGAGGAGAGUUGAACGCCAUGUGUAGCGGUGGAAUGCGUAGAUAUAUGGAAGAACACCAGUGGCGAAGGCGGCUCUCUGGUCUGCAACUGACGCUGAGGCUCGAAAGCAUGGGUAGCGAACAGGAUUAGAUACCCCAGUAGUC
RNAcentral lists this ribosomal RNA (465 nucleotides) under uncultured bacterium. RNAcentral describes it as "partial 16S ribosomal RNA". It matches the Rfam family "Bacterial small subunit ribosomal RNA", at positions 338 to 795 of the family's 1533-position model. The record is from RNAcentral.